GUGGUAAUACCGGAUGCUCCGCUCCAUCGCAUGGUGGGGUGGGAAAUGCUUUUGCGGCAUGGGAUGGGGUCGCGUCCUAUCAGCUUGUUGGCGGGGUGAUGGCCCACCAAGGCGUUGACGGGUAGCCGGCCUGAGAGGGUGACCGGCCACAUUGGGACUGAGAUACGGCCCAGACUCCUACGGGAGGCAGCAGUGGGGAAUAUUGCACAAUGGGCGCAAGCCUGAUGCAGCGACGCCGCGUGCGGGAUGGAGGCCUUCGGGUUGUAAACCGCUUUUGUUCAAGGGCAAGGCACGGUUUCGGCCGUGUUGAGUGGAUUGUUCGAAUAAGCACCGGCUAACUACGUGCCAGCAGCCGCGGUAAUACGUAGGGUGCGAGCGUUAUCCGGAUUUAUUGGGCGUAAAGGGCUCGUAGGCGGUUCGUCGCGUCCGGUGUGAAAGUCCAUCGCCUAACGGUGGAUCUGCGCCGGGUACGGGCGGGCUGGAGUGCGGUAGGGGAGACUGGAAUUCCCGGUGUAACGGUGGAAUGUGUAGAUAUCGGAAAAGAACACC
Molecule: ribosomal RNA, 549 nt
Filed under: Bifidobacterium animalis subsp. lactis
Lineage: Bacteria; Bacillati; Actinomycetota; Actinomycetes; Bifidobacteriales; Bifidobacteriaceae
Description: bacterial SSU rRNA
Rfam family: Bacterial small subunit ribosomal RNA
Source: RNAcentral